Homo sapiens (human) is the source of this 1889-nucleotide long non-coding RNA. RefSeq lists it as uncharacterized. The transcript is spliced from 5 exons. The record is from RefSeq and is a predicted model, not a curated record. Lineage: Eukaryota; Metazoa; Chordata; Mammalia; Primates; Hominidae.
GCCCGCUGCUGCCCCAGCCCCAGCAGUGCCACCUCCAGCGCCAGCACCAAGUAGGACUCCCCAGGGCUCCCGGGCACAGGCACGUGCUGACUAGAGUGCAAUGGCGUGAUCUCAGCUCACCACAACCUCCAGGUACCUCCCGGUUCAAGGGAUUCUCCUGCCUCAGUGUCCUGAGUAGCUGGGAAUACAGCUAGCAGAAGGCCAAGCCAGACCAGCCCAGGACUGCAGGUGUUUUAAGCAUUUUACUUCACUUGCCCACUUGGGCUGCCAUUGCUCCUGCCCUUGGCACUCGCUCUUUCCUGGCUAGACAAGUUGGGAUUAGUCCUGGAAGAACAGCCAAGGACUGGGGUCUGCUUUGCUCUGCCCCACUCCCUCUCUCUCCUGGGAAGAGGACCAUGAUGUGGGGGCUCAGGACGACGCAAACCCACAGGGCCCCUGAGGAGGCACGGGGCAGGCUCAAUAUUCCUGCCAACAGUGGCAGCAACACACACUUCCGCAGUGCCCACUGUGUGCCACCUGAUGAUCUGCUAACCCCUCACCUCGACCCUCGGAAGUUGCAACUCGCAGCCUUUGCACCUUACAGACAAGCAAACUGAGGCACAGAGACAUAACACGGCUUGCACAGGGUCACACCGCUGAAAACACAUGUUGGCCGGUGCGGUGGCUCAUGCCUGUAAUCCCAGCACUUUGGGAGGCCUAGGCAGGCGGAUCACGAGGUCAGGAGAUCGAGACCAUCCUGGCUAACACGGUGAAACCCCAUCUCUACUAAAAAUACAAAAAAUUAGCCGGGCGUGGUGGCAGGCGCCUGUGAUCCCAGCUACUCGGGAGGCUGAGGCAGGAGAACAGCGUGAACCUGGGGGGCGGAGCUUGCAGUGAGCCGAGAUCGUGCCACUGCACUACAGCCUGGGUGACAAAGCAAGACUCCAUCUCAAAAAAAAAAAAAAAAAAAAAAGGCUGGGCGUGGUGGCUCACGCCUGUAAUCCCAACCCUUUGGGAAGCCGAGGCGGGCGGAUCAUGAGGUCAGGGGAUCGAGACCAUCCUGGUUAACCCAGUGAAACCCCGUUGCUACUAAAAAUACAAAAAAAUUAGCCGGGCGUGGUGGUGGGCCUCUGUAGUCCCAGCUACUCGGGAGGCUGAGGCAGGAGAAUGGCAUGAACCCAGGAGGCAGAGCUUGCAGUGAGCUGAGAUUGUGCCACUGCACUCCAGCUUGGGUGACAGAGCAAGACUCCGUCUCAAAAAAAAAAGAAAAAAGAAAAAAGAAAACAUAUGUUGGCUGGGUGUGGUGGCUCACGCCUGUAAUCCCAGCACUUUGGGAGGCUGAGGCGGGUGGAUCACGAAGACAGGAGUUCGAGACCAGCCUGAUCAACAUGGUGAAACUCCGUCUCUACUAAAAAUACAAUAAUUAGCUAGGCAUGGUGGCACGCACCUAUAAUCCCAGCUACUGAGAAGGCUAAGGCAGGAGAAUCAUUUGAACCCAGGAGGUGGAGGUUGCAGUGAGCCGAGAUCGUGCCACUGCACUCCAGCCUGGGAGACAGGGUGAGAGUCCGUGUCAAAAAAAGAAAACAGGCCAGGUGCCGUGGCUCACACCUGUAAUCCCAGCACUCUGGGAGGCUGAGGCGGGUAGAUCACAAGGUCAGGAGAUCAAGACAACCCUGCCUAACACAGUGAAACCCCGUCUCUAAUAAAAAAAAUACAAAAAAUUAGCCGGACUUAGUGGCGGGUGCCUGUAGUCCCAGCUACUAGGGAGGCUGAGGCAGGAGAAUGGUGUGAACCCGGAGGGCGGAGCUUGCAGUGAGCCAAGAUAGUACCACUGCACUCCAGCACUCCAGCCUGGAUGACAGAGCGAGACUCCUUCUCAAAAAAAAAAAAAGAAAAGAAAAGAAAACAAA